AAGUGUUAUAGAACUUUUAUAAUUUAUUUGACAGGUUUUCUGGUCUCUACCAGAAGACACCCCA
Otolemur garnettii (small-eared galago) is the source of this 64-nucleotide non-coding RNA. Lineage: Eukaryota; Metazoa; Chordata; Mammalia; Primates; Galagidae. The record is from Rfam.